RNAcentral lists this ribosomal RNA (251 nucleotides) under uncultured prokaryote. Its description in RNAcentral is "partial 16S rRNA". It matches the Rfam family "Bacterial small subunit ribosomal RNA", at positions 525 to 775 of the family's 1533-position model. The record is from RNAcentral.
ACGUAGGUGGCGAGCGUUAUCCGGAAUUACUGGGUGUAAAGGGUGUGUAGGCGGGGAUGCAAGUCAGAUGUGAAAACCAUGGGCUCAACCCAUGAUGUGCAUUUGAAACUGCGUUUCUUGAGUGUGGGAGAGGUAAGCGGAAUUCCUAGUGUAGCGGUGAAAUGCGUAGAUAUUAGGAGGAACACCAGUGGCGAAGGCGGCUUACUGGACCACAACUGACGCUGAGACACGAAAGCGUGGGGAGCAAACAG